Molecule: long non-coding RNA, 233 nt
Filed under: Vitis vinifera (wine grape)
Lineage: Eukaryota; Viridiplantae; Streptophyta; Magnoliopsida; Vitales; Vitaceae
Description: long non-coding RNA (VVIN_LNC003713)
Source: RNAcentral
GUUUUGGUUUUGGAGGUUUGAUUGAGAGGGGAGAGAGAGAGGUGAGACUGUGAAUCGUGCUGUAGACAUGGCUAUUUGGGAUGACAGUUGAAACUGAAAUUUGAAUUUUAGAGGGAGGGAUAAAUAGAGACAAUACAACGACGUCGUUUGGAUUUCUGCUUUGCACAUGCCUUUCAUCCAAUGUACCCAUACGACGUCGUUUCCGCCUUUUCUGCAUUUGCACACAAAUACAC